Molecule: non-coding RNA, 4121 nt
Organism: Cyanistes caeruleus (blue tit)
Lineage: Eukaryota; Metazoa; Chordata; Aves; Passeriformes; Paridae
Source: RefSeq, a predicted model, not a curated record
GCAUCCCUUCUCCUUUGCGUGCUUUAGGCGGUCCAGGCACCUUUUACCGUGACCCCCUUGCCGACUGGCCGGCAGGCCUGGUUCGCCGCUCCCGUGAGCCCUGCGGAAGCGUUAAGGGACCGCGUGCUGAAGCCUUGACGUUUUCCACGUGACGGUGCCAUCCGGGCAGCCUUUAGCAACGGCCGAGGGGUUGCCGUGAGUUGGGGAUGUCGGGAGGAGGAGCGAGGGCCCGCUCGAGUUUCGGCAGUGACAGAUCACCUUGUCUCCUCCUAACGCAGGCGUGCCCCGCGAUGAUGGCAUCUGGCUCCGGGCGAGGCCGAAGCGUGCGGCCCUGGGAUGCGGGCGUUCUCGAGAGACCGUGAGUAGCAGACUUGUCAGGGUUUGCCCGAUGUUCUGCUAAGAUCCUGGGAUGAUGUUCUGUUCUUUUUCGUGUAGCUCAUCAAGAGACAGCAGCAUGGUGACGGCAGGAACUGGGCAGACGACGAGACGGCAUUCCUUGGCAGCCCGUGUGGACUCUCACCCCCCGGGCAUCCGAGAGCUAACUCAAAGGCUACGAUCCGCAGAGGGGGGAUGGAAGCGGGGUGCCGGGCUGGGACUCGUGGCCAGGAAGUUUUGAGUCUGCUUUGGACGUAGCGAGGUUCAAGAAGUGGCCCUUUAGGCCGCCUCAAGGGAAAGCCUCACUUUGGCUCCCAAUGCUGAGGUGCACAGGGCAGAGCGGUCCGGGGAUGUGUCGGGUCACUUGUCUGUCGUGCCUUUUGUGCACCUCGUGUCGUAUGUUUGUUGCCUUAGCCCUUCCAGGAGGUUACAGGAAACCCUGGCGUCACUCUUAACAUCUCUGAUCUCUGGGUUCCUCGGCCAGGCGCAGACACUGUCAGAGCUGUGCCUCGGGACCUCUCAGAGGCCUUGGAAUCCCAUCUCUGUUUUUAAGCGUCCGAUCGGGUGUCUUUUGAGGUCUUGUUCUGAGCUGUGGCCACAGCCGUGCGCCGCAAGGAUCCAUUGUAGCGGGCUAGGACUUGUCCGAAUGCAAGGACAGACAGAGAAUUGUGGCCGUAGGAUUCUCGGGCAUCCGUAUUUGCGCUUCUCGGGAUAAGUCAUCGUGUCAGCAUCUUCUUUCUUCAGGGUUGUCUCAGCCUUAUCAGCUCGCCAUCAUUCUCACCUGGGUCAUCUUGUUCCGCAUUCUCUGGGUCCUUGCGGCCAUUCUUCUGGCCCGGAGUUUUGUCUCCCUGUUGUGUCCCCUUGUCUGUUGUCUUGUGUGUCACGGGUGUCUGGGUGUAUUUGGGUCGGAGCUGCUCUGCCCUGCUGCAGAGGCUGGCUGUAGGUGUAAAUGGACAAAUCCUGGGUAGCUGUAAUUAGGGAUUUGUAAUUAGAGAUCUGUAAUGUAGAAUGCAGUUGGAGUCUAGAUAGUAUGCCUAGAUUGACAGAAGAUGUCAGGAGCUGUGAAGUUAUCCUGCAGCACUUUGAGUUGUGUCUUUGCUUUCUUUCAGAUGCGGAUGGAUGAAAUCCGUGGCAGAGGGCCCCAUCCAGGGUAAGGGUGUUCCCGCGAGAAGGUAAGUCACGGUUUGUCUUUGCAGGGGACCUGGAACCGGUCACUGUGUGACAGCUCUGUUCUUUGUUGUUAUUUUUAGGAUGUAAAGCCAGCUAUCCACGGUCAGGGCGAAGUCGGCAAGGUGAGCAGUGAGGGGUGGAGAGAAGCGGUUGUUAUUGCUGAGGUCUCAGUUUCAGCUGCAACUCCAAGCAUCCCUUCUCCUUUGCGUGCUUUAGGCGGUCCAGGCACCUUUUACCGAGACCCCCUCGCCGACUGGCCGGCAGGCCUGGUUCGCCGCUCCCGUGAGCCCUGCGGAAGCGUUAAGGGACCGCGUGCUGAAGCCUUGGUGUUUUCCACGUGACGGUGCCAUCCGGGCAGCUUUUAGCAACAGCCGAGGGGUUGCCGUGAGUUGGGGAUGUCGGAAGGAGGAGCGAGGGCCCGCUCGAGUUUCGGCAGUGACAGAUCAACUUGUCUCCUCCUAACGCAGGCGUGCCCCGCGAUGAUGGCAUCUGGCUCCGGGCGUGGCCGAAGCGUGCGGCCCUGGGAUGCGGGCGUUCUCGAGAGACCCUCAUCAAGAGACAGCAGCAUGGUGACGGCAGGAACUGGGCAGACGACGAGACGGCAUUCCUUGGCAGCCCGUGUGGACUCUCACCCCCCGGGCGUCCGAGAGCUAACUCAAAGGCUACGAUCCGCAGAGGGGGGAUGGAAGCGGGGUGCCGGGCUGGGACUCGUGGCCAGGAAGUUUUGAGUCAGCUUUGGAUGAAGCGAGGUUCAAGAAGUGGCCCUUUAGGCCACCUCAAGGGAAAGCCUCACUUUGGCUCCCAAUGCCGAGGUGCACAGGGCAGAGCGGUCCGGGGAUGUGUCGGGUCACUUGUCUGUCGUGCCUUUUGUGCACCUCGUGUCGUAUGUGUCUUGCCUUAGCCCUUCCAGGACGUUACAGGAAACCCUGGCGUCACUCUUAACAUCUCUGAUCUCUUGGCUCCUCGGCCUGGCGCUGACACUGUCAGAGCUGUGCCUCGGGACCUCUCAGAGGCCUUGGAAUCCCAUCUCUGUUUUUAAGCGUCCGAUCGGGUGUCUUUAGAGGUCUUGUUCUGAGCUGUGUCCACAGCCGUGCGCCGCAAGGAUCCAUUGUAGCGGGCUAGGACUUGUCCGAAUGCAAGGACAGGUAGAGAAUUGUGGCCGUAGGAUUCUCGGCCAUCCGUAUUUGCGCUUCUCGGGAUAAGUCAUCGUGUCAGCAUCUUCUUUCUUCAGGGCUGCCUCGGCCUUAUCAGCUCGCCAUCAUUCUCACCUGGGUCAUCUUGUGCCGCAUUCUCUCGGUCCUUGCGGCCAUUCUUCUGGCCCGGAGUUUUGUCUCCCUGUUGUGUCCCCUGGUCUGUUGUCUUGUGUGUCACGGGUGUCUGGGUGUAUUUGGGUCGGAGCUGCUCUGCCCUGCUGCAGAGGCUGGCCUAUGGUCAGCUGCCAUGGGAGAGGCUUCAUAUUAAACCAACUGCUGAAUGAUUUAAUUAGUCUGGUACCUACGGCUUCUGAUCAUUUGCUUUGUACAAAUGCAUUUCAACAGUUUGCUGUGCUGUAAGCAUCUCAUAGCUGCUACUCUUGAGAACCUUGUUUUAGAAAUUAGUUAAAAGGCAUCUUUCCAGUUUAAAGCCUAGGCUCUGUCCAAGCCUUGACUUUACCUGGAUAGAGAAUUUACCAAUAAACCCAGAAGUUUUCUGCAUCGAAACAAUAUUCAGGUCAAUCUGACUUGGCAAUUAGUGAAUUAAUAUAGCAGCUGGAUUUUACAGUGGGCUUGGAAAAUUGUUAUCCGGACAUGAUUUUCCAAUCUUCCAUUGUUUUAUCAGCUGUGGCAAACUCUGGGAUGGGUGUGUAUAUUUAGAAUAUUCAGUAAUUCAUAUUACAGAUAAUUUAGAUAAGUUUAGUAUUGCAUAAUAUCAAUUAUGCAUCUUUUUAAUAAGUUUUUGAUUUCUGUAAAAAUUUUAUUUCCUAUAUGUAUACAUAUGCAUGUGUUUUACUUUGAUGGUUUUUCAUUGUCAGAACAAGACAGUGGAUAUUUUACCUUUGUUUACAAGAGAGGGGGAGGAAACAGAGGUUGCACUUCAGAAGCAUGGAAACAUGAUGUACGUAUUUUAGAUUUUGGAAAAAAUGCAAAGAUUGUAUAUCUAUUACAAAUAAUUCUUGAAGAGUCCUUUUUAAACAAGUCUGUUACAAAGCAAAUUAUCAAGUACUGUUCUAACAGUAGUCAAGCAAAGUUGAGAGAGAAUUCUUUGAUUCUGGUCAAAUGUUCAGAAGCAAGAUGAAAAAUUCAUUUCAGUUGAUAAUUUGGAGUAAAGUCUAUGUUUGUGUAUUCACAGGUUCAAAACAGAAGUAACUUCCUAGCGAAGAACAUGGAAACUCGUGAGCUGCAAAGACAAACAGACAGGCCAAAGAGCAGAAGAGCGAGCACGCAGAUGUGAACCGUAUUGAGACCACAGUUGACAGCUGAACAACUUUGAUCCCACAUGCCAGAGCAAUGAACUUUGUGUUUCAUGUGAAAGAGUGGGAAAAUUGAUAUUGUAAAACCUCACUUGUUAAAUAAAGCAUGGUGUGAACUGUGUCAAGA